GCAUAUCAAUAAGCGGAGGAAAAGAAAAUAACAAUGAUUCCCCUAGUAACUGCGAGUGAAGAGGGACAAGCUCAAAUUUUAAAUCUGUUAGGUUUUACCUGACCGAGUUGUAAUUUGAAGAGGCGUUUUCCGCGUAUUUGGUCAACCCAAGUCCUAUUGAAUGAGGCAUCAUGGAGGGUGAUAAUCCCGUCCGGUUGAUCAUUGCGCUUUACGAUACGCUUUCUAAGAGUCAAGUUGUUUGGGAUUGCAGCUUAAAAUGGGAGGUAAAUUUCUCCUAAGGCUAAAUAACGGUGAGAGACCGAUAGCGAACAAGUACCGUGAGGGAAAGAUGAAAAGUACUUUGAAAAGAGAGUUAAACAGUACGUGAAAUUGUUGAAAGGGAAACGAUUGAAGCCAGUCGUACCUAUGGGUAAUCAACCUUUUGGGUGUGAUUUUGUGGAGCGUGAGGAGUUAAACGCCUUCAUGCCUGCAUAUUCGUGCACUUUGGGUGUACUUGCCCGUGUGUAAGUUAACAUCAAUUUUGGUGGUCAUAAAAUGGCUGGAGGAAUGUAGCUUCGAUCUUGUAUUGAAGUGUUAUAGCCUUCGGUAGAUGUGACGAUCGGGAUUGAGGAUUGCAACGGAUACCCUUCGGGGCUACCUGUCUGAUCUCUGAUUGUUGCUCUGGUACCGAAAGCUUGCUUACGGUUAUCAAAGUCGAUGGUCAAUAGGUUAGAACGGGUUAAAUUCGUUAAGGAUGUUGACGUA
RNAcentral lists this ribosomal RNA (744 nucleotides) under uncultured Glomerales. Its description in RNAcentral is "LSU rRNA". It matches the Rfam family "Eukaryotic large subunit ribosomal RNA", at positions 38 to 633 of the family's 3401-position model. The record is from RNAcentral. Lineage: Eukaryota; Fungi; Glomeromycota; Glomeromycetes; Glomerales; Glomeraceae.